AAACUGGGCAGGCCAGAAUGAUUUCAAAGCUCCACGUCUCGUUUACAAGCAGUCAAGAGAAGUGAGUAUAGACAGACCCCCUGUAUCGUGAGCUGGCGGUCUUCAUGCAUUUACAGACUGUUGUCCCAACCUAUACAAAACGGAUGUUCUCUUGAAUUUGAGUAAAUGCUGCCGCUGCUAAUAAACCAAAUGUUUUCAAGCAUAUUUUUUUCUUUUACUACCUUUACGGCUGUAAUGAAUACAUUUUACGCCUAAAUAACUGAAAUGAAAACAAUCACAAACUUGGCUAUUCUUUUUUGCAUCAGCUAUUUAGGUCUAACAUUUGUUCAAUGCAAUCGUUAAAUAUACACAGGUUCCAAACAGCGCUUUGAAUGUAGCCAACAUCUCCAACUAAAUGAAAUAGCAAAAAAUAAAUAUUUUCAACACAGCACAAAGGACCAACAUUUCCAGAUGUAGGCUAAUAAAUCUGCAGACAUUAUGUAACAAUAAUUGUAUUGGG
This is a non-coding RNA of Pelobates cultripes (western spadefoot toad), 499 nucleotides long. The record is from the annotation of a GenBank genome assembly. NCBI's taxonomy places the organism in Eukaryota, Metazoa, Chordata, Amphibia, Anura, Pelobatidae.